ACGGGGAAGGAUGAGAAGCUUCGACCAAGGUUCGAUUCGAGCGAAAGCGAGAAAGCGUUGCCGCAGGCAACGACCCGAAGGGCGAAGCGCGCAGCGCUGAGUCAUCCUUCCCCCACCACCA
This 121-nucleotide small RNA is filed under the name Salmonella enterica subsp. enterica serovar Lexington. RNAcentral describes it as "partial RtT sRNA". It matches the Rfam family "RtT RNA". From Rfam's summary of the family: This family represents a bacterial cis-regulatory element known as RtT RNA. The exact function of RtT is unknown although it is thought that it may be involved in changing the cellular response in relation to amino acid starvation. The record is from RNAcentral. Lineage: Bacteria; Pseudomonadati; Pseudomonadota; Gammaproteobacteria; Enterobacterales; Enterobacteriaceae.